UCAUUUUGGGGGCACCAAUCCAACAUUAAUGACAAUUUGGCAUCAUCAAGUAUCGGAUGCAAACUGAAGAAUGAACAAGGUAAUGGCAUGAGAGACUGUUCCCAGGUGGCGAUUUAUACAGGAGAAAAUUGGUAGCUUACAUUGUUCCAGCAAUCCUGGUGCUAAUAUGGGUCUUGUCAUCUUCGGAAAGCUUAGCCAAACCAAAGUCAGAGAUCUUAGGGUUAAGGUCCCCAUCAAGUAGUACAUUGGUAGCCUUGAUGUCCC
Molecule: long non-coding RNA, 264 nt
Organism: Rhododendron vialii
Lineage: Eukaryota; Viridiplantae; Streptophyta; Magnoliopsida; Ericales; Ericaceae
Exons: 2
Source: RefSeq, a predicted model, not a curated record